GAGCACGUAGGUGGGUUUGUAAGUCAGAUGUGAAAGCCUUCUGUUCAACGGAAGAAUUGCAUCUGAAACUGCAAGUCUUGAGUGUAGGAGGGGAGAAUGGAACUUCUGGUGGAGCGGUGAAAUGCGUAGAUAUCAGAAGGAACGCCGGCGGCGAAAGCGAUUCUCUGGCCUAUUACUGACACUCAGUGUGCGAAAGCUAGGGGAGCAAACGGGAUUAGAUACCCCGGUAGUCCUAGCCGUAAACGAUGGGCACUAAGUAGAGGGAAUUACCGAUGUUCUCUCUGCCGUAGCUAACGCAUUAAGUGCCCCGCCUGGGGAGUACGGCCGCAAGGCUAAAACUCAAAAGAAUUGACGGGGGCUCGCACAAGCGGUGGAGCAUGUGGCUUAAUUCGAUGCAACGCGAAAAACCUUACCGGGGCUUGACAUGGUAGAAGUAGGAACCCGAAAGGGUAACGAACGGUAUCCAGUCCGUAGCUAUCACAGGUGUUGCAUGGCUGUCGUCAGCUCGUGUCGUGAGACGUUGGGUUAAGUCCCCUAACGAGCGAAACCCUUGUUUUUAGUUACCAGCGGGUUAUGCCGGGUACUCUAGAAAGACUGCCGUCGUCAAGACGGAGGAAGGUGGGGAUGACGUCAAGUCAUCAUGGCCCUUAUGCCCCGGGCUGCACACGUGCUACAAUGGUCGGUACAAACGGAUGCGAAGCCGAGAGGUGAAGCGAAUCC
Molecule: ribosomal RNA, 720 nt
Filed under: uncultured anaerobic ammonium-oxidizing bacterium
Lineage: Bacteria
Description: bacterial SSU rRNA
Rfam family: Bacterial small subunit ribosomal RNA
Source: RNAcentral